This is a long non-coding RNA of Papaver somniferum (opium poppy), 341 nucleotides long. RefSeq lists it as uncharacterized. The record is from RefSeq and is a predicted model, not a curated record. NCBI's taxonomy places the organism in Eukaryota, Viridiplantae, Streptophyta, Magnoliopsida, Ranunculales, Papaveraceae. The transcript is spliced from 3 exons.
UAGGAGCUGAUUUGUGCUUGGCAACUAGUGUCUGGAAAAUACAUCUGGGAUUGUACGCUCAAUUGACACUCAUCCUUCGCGAAAGCAUGCCUGUGUGGUAAGAUGCCUUCUGCACUUCUCUUAGUUCCUUGCAGUAACUUCAUAUACCUUCUACCCUCUAGUUUUGCAAGAUUAAAUGGUGUGCUUUCAGGCAAUGCAUCAGGCUUAUGAUGCCAUCGUGCAGAAAAAGUGCAUUGGGGCAUAAAUACCGACGAAAAUGUCGAGGAGGAUCAUGUCACUCAGGCACUCAAUAGGAUAUAAUCCAGGAUAAUAAGAUAUGUGGUGCUGAACACAAUCAUUCA